AGUGAACGCUGGCGGCAGGCCUAACACAUGCAAGUCGAACGGCAGCACGGCAGUAGCAAUACUGUGGGUGGCGAGUGGCGGACGGGUGAGGAAUACAUCGGGAUCUACCCUGUUGUGGGGGAUAACGUAGGGAAACUUACGCUAAUACCGCAUAAGAACUGAGGUUGAAAGCGGCGGACCGCAAGGCGUCGCGCGAUUGGAUGAACCGAUGUCCGAUUAGCUAGUUGGCGGGGUAAAGGCCCACCAAGGCGACGAUCGGUAGCUGGUCUGAGAGGACGACCAGCCACACUGGAACUGAGACACGGUCCAGACUCCUACGGGAGGCAGCAGUGGGGAAUAUUGGACAAUGGGCGCAAGCCUGAUCCAGCCAUGCCGCGUGGGUGAAGAAGGCCUUCGGGUUGUAAGACCUUUGUCCACUGACGAGGAAGGACGGUAGGUGGCGAAUAAGACCUCGGCGUAACUACGUGCCAGCAGCCGCGGU
This 481-nucleotide ribosomal RNA is filed under the name uncultured bacterium. Its description in RNAcentral is "bacterial SSU rRNA". It matches the Rfam family "Bacterial small subunit ribosomal RNA", at positions 30 to 521 of the family's 1533-position model. The record is from RNAcentral.